Molecule: ribosomal RNA, 249 nt
Filed under: uncultured bacterium
Lineage: Bacteria
Description: partial 16S ribosomal RNA
Rfam family: Bacterial small subunit ribosomal RNA
Source: RNAcentral
GCUGACGAGUGGCGGACGGGUGAGUAACGCGUAGGAAUCUGCCUUAUAGUGGGGGACAACGUGGGGAAACCCACGCUAAUACCGCAUACGCCCUACGGGGGAAAGGAGGGGAUCUUCGGACCUUUCGCUAUGAGAUGAGCCUGCGUUAGAUUAGCUAGUUGGUAGGGUAAAGGCCUACCAAGGCGACGAUCUAUAGCUGGUCUGAGAGGACGAUCAGCCACACUGGGACUGAGACACGGCCCAGACUCC